This 2930-nucleotide ribosomal RNA is filed under the name Escherichia coli. Its description in RNAcentral is "23S ribosomal RNA". It matches the Rfam family "Bacterial large subunit ribosomal RNA". The record is from RNAcentral. Lineage: Bacteria; Pseudomonadati; Pseudomonadota; Gammaproteobacteria; Enterobacterales; Enterobacteriaceae.
GGGUUGUGAGGUUAAGCGACUAAGCGUACACGGUGGAUGCCCUGGCAGUCAGAGGCGAUGAAGGACGUGCUAAUCUGCGAUAAGCGUCGGUAAGGUGAUAUGAACCGUUAUAACCGGCGAUUUCCGAAUGGGGAAACCCAGUGUGUUUCGACACACUAUCAUUAACUGAAUCCAUAGGUUAAUGAGGCGAACCGGGGGAACUGAAACAUCUAAGUACCCCGAGGAAAAGAAAUCAACCGAGAUUCCCCCAGUAGCGGCGAGCGAACGGGGAGCAGCCCAGAGCCUGAAUCAGUGUGUGUGUUAGUGGAAGCGUCUGGAAAGGCGCGCGAUACAGGGUGACAGCCCCGUACACAAAAAUGCACAUGCUGUGAGCUCGAUGAGUAGGGCGGGACACGUGGUAUCCUGUCUGAAUAUGGGGGGACCAUCCUCCAAGGCUAAAUACUCCUGACUGACCGAUAGUGAACCAGUACCGUGAGGGAAAGGCGAAAAGAACCCCGGCGAGGGGAGUGAAAAAGAACCUGAAACCGUGUACGUACAAGCAGUGGGAGCACGCUUAGGCGUGUGACUGCGUACCUUUUGUAUAAUGGGUCAGCGACUUAUAUUCUGUAGCAAGGUUAACCGAAUAGGGGAGCCGAAGGGAAACCGAGUCUUAACUGGGCGUUAAGUUGCAGGGUAUAGACCCGAAACCCGGUGAUCUAGCCAUGGGCAGGUUGAAGGUUGGGUAACACUAACUGGAGGACCGAACCGACUAAUGUUGAAAAAUUAGCGGAUGACUUGUGGCUGGGGGUGAAAGGCCAAUCAAACCGGGAGAUAGCUGGUUCUCCCCGAAAGCUAUUUAGGUAGCGCCUCGUGAAUUCAUCUCCGGGGGUAGAGCACUGUUUCGGCAAGGGGGUCAUCCCGACUUACCAACCCGAUGCAAACUGCGAAUACCGGAGAAUGUUAUCACGGGAGACACACGGCGGGUGCUAACGUCCGUCGUGAAGAGGGAAACAACCCAGACCGCCAGCUAAGGUCCCAAAGUCAUGGUUAAGUGGGAAACGAUGUGGGAAGGCCCAGACAGCCAGGAUGUUGGCUUAGAAGCAGCCAUCAUUUAAAGAAAGCGUAAUAGCUCACUGGUCGAGUCGGCCUGCGCGGAAGAUGUAACGGGGCUAAACCAUGCACCGAAGCUGCGGCAGCGACGCUUAUGCGUUGUUGGGUAGGGGAGCGUUCUGUAAGCCUGUGAAGGUGUACUGUGAGGUAUGCUGGAGGUAUCAGAAGUGCGAAUGCUGACAUAAGUAACGAUAAAGCGGGUGAAAAACCCGCUCGCCGGAAGACCAAGGGUUCCUGUCCAACGUUAAUCGGGGCAGGGUGAGUCGACCCCUAAGGCGAGGCCGAAAGGCGUAGUCGAUGGGAAACAGGUUAAUAUUCCUGUACUUGGUGUUACUGCGAAGGGGGGACGGAGAAGGCUAUGUUGGCCGGGCGACGGUUGUCCCGGUUUAAGCGUGUAGGCUGGUUUUCCAGGCAAAUCCGGAAAAUCAAGGCUGAGGCGUGAUGACGAGGCACUACGGUGCUGAAGCAACAAAUGCCCUGCUUCCAGGAAAAGCCUCUAAGCAUCAGGUAACAUCAAAUCGUACCCCAAACCGACACAGGUGGUCAGGUAGAGAAUACCAAGGCGCUUGAGAGAACUCGGGUGAAGGAACUAGGCAAAAUGGUGCCGUAACUUCGGGAGAAGGCACGCUGAUAUGUAGGUGAAGUCCCUCGCGGAUGGAGCUGAAAUCAGUCGAAGAUACCAGCUGGCUGCAACUGUUUAUUAAAAACACAGCACUGUGCAAACACGAAAGUGGACGUAUACGGUGUGACGCCUGCCCGGUGCCGGAAGGUUAAUUGAUGGGGUUAGCGCAAGCGAAGCUCUUGAUCGAAGCCCCGGUAAACGGCGGCCGUAACUAUAACGGUCCUAAGGUAGCGAAAUUCCUUGUCGGGUAAGUUCCGACCUGCACGAAUGGCGUAAUGAUGGCCAGGCUGUCUCCACCCGAGACUCAGUGAAAUUGAACUCGCUGUGAAGAUGCAGUGUACCCGCGGCAAGACGGAAAGACCCCGUGAACCUUUACUAUAGCUUGACACUGAACAUUGAGCCUUGAUGUGUAGGAUAGGUGGGAGGCUUUGAAGUGUGGACGCCAGUCUGCAUGGAGCCGACCUUGAAAUACCACCCUUUAAUGUUUGAUGUUCUAACGUUGACCCGUAAUCCGGGUUGCGGACAGUGUCUGGUGGGUAGUUUGACUGGGGCGGUCUCCUCCUAAAGAGUAACGGAGGAGCACGAAGGUUGGCUAAUCCUGGUCGGACAUCAGGAGGUUAGUGCAAUGGCAUAAGCCAGCUUGACUGCGAGCGUGACGGCGCGAGCAGGUGCGAAAGCAGGUCAUAGUGAUCCGGUGGUUCUGAAUGGAAGGGCCAUCGCUCAACGGAUAAAAGGUACUCCGGGGAUAACAGGCUGAUACCGCCCAAGAGUUCAUAUCGACGGCGGUGUUUGGCACCUCGAUGUCGGCUCAUCACAUCCUGGGGCUGAAGUAGGUCCCAAGGGUAUGGCUGUUCGCCAUUUAAAGUGGUACGCGAGCUGGGUUUAGAACGUCGUGAGACAGUUCGGUCCCUAUCUGCCGUGGGCGCUGGAGAACUGAGGGGGGCUGCUCCUAGUACGAGAGGACCGGAGUGGACGCAUCACUGGUGUUCGGGUUGUCAUGCCAAUGGCACUGCCCGGUAGCUAAAUGCGGAAGAGAUAAGUGCUGAAAGCAUCUAAGCACGAAACUUGCCCCGAGAUGAGUUCUCCCUGACCCUUUAAGGGUCCUGAAGGAACGUUGAAGACGACGACGUUGAUAGGCCGGGUGUGUAAGCGCAGCGAUGCGUUGAGCUAACCGGUACUAAUGAACCGUGAGGCUUAACCUUACAACGCCGAAGCUGUU